AGGUCAAAACACCCACCCUCUUUCUUUUGGGUGCUCAGGAUCUUCGUGUUCCAGUUUCUACCGGGUUGCAAUAUGCUCGGGCAUUGAAAGAGAAAGGAGUUCCCGUCAAAGUCAUUGUGUUUCCUAAUGAUACUCAUGCCAUUGAGAGGCCGCAAUCGGACUUUGAGAGCUUUCUGAAUAUUGGUGUGUGGUUCAAGAAGUAUUCUUAGACUGGCCAAUGAAGGAAAUAGUGGAGUCGGCCUAUGGAGGUAGAACGUCGACAAGGGGACUGGACUGCCGAUGCAAUGCAAAUGAAGCUGAAGGUUUGAGAAAAAUGGUGCUGCAAUUUCCAAACAGAGAUUAGGAGGGAGGAGAAUU
This is a long non-coding RNA of Prunus avium (sweet cherry), 357 nucleotides long. RefSeq lists it as uncharacterized. The record is from RefSeq and is a predicted model, not a curated record. Lineage: Eukaryota; Viridiplantae; Streptophyta; Magnoliopsida; Rosales; Rosaceae.